Molecule: ribosomal RNA, 789 nt
Filed under: uncultured bacterium
Lineage: Bacteria
Description: bacterial SSU rRNA
Rfam family: Bacterial small subunit ribosomal RNA
Source: RNAcentral
AGAGUUUGAUCAUGGCUCAGGAUGAACGCUAGCGGCAGGCCUAACACAUGCAAGUCGAGGGGUAAGGCUCUUUCGGGAGUACACGACCGGCGCACGGGUGAGUAACGCGUUUGCAACCUACCUCUAACUGGGGCAUAGCCCGGAGAAAUUCGGAUUAAUACCCCAUAACAUUAUGAAAAGGCAUCUUUUUAUAAUUAAAGCUCCGGCGGUUAGAGAUGGGCAUGCGUGUCAUUAGCUUGUUGGUGAGGUAACGGCUCACCAAGGCAACGAUGACUAGGGGGUCUGAGAGGAUGAUCCCCCACACUGGUACUGAGACACGGACCAGACUCCUACGGGAGGCAGCAGUGAGGAAUAUUGGGCAAUGGACGCAAGUCUGACCCAGCCAUGCCGCGUGCAGGAUGAAUGCCCUAUGGGUUGUAAACUGCUUUUUUACGGGAAGAACUAUUCCUACGUGUAGGGAUUUGACGGUACCGUAAGAAUAAGCAUCGGCUAACUCCGUGCCAGCAGCCGCGGUAAUACGGAGGAUGCAAGCGUUAUCCGGAUUUAUUGGGUUUAAAGGGUGCGUAGGCGGAAUAUUAAGUCAGUGGUGAAAUCCUGCAGCUUAACUGUAGAACUGCCAUUGAUACUGGUAUUCUUGAAUGUAGUUGAGGUGGGCGGAAUGUGUAAUGUAGCGGUGAAAUGCUUAGAUAUUACACAGAACACCGAUUGCGAAGGCAGCUCACUAAACUAUGAUUGACGCUGAGGCACGAAAGCGUGGGGAGCAAACAGGAUUAGAUACCCUAGUAGUCC